Molecule: ribosomal RNA, 254 nt
Filed under: uncultured bacterium
Lineage: Bacteria
Description: partial 16S ribosomal RNA
Rfam family: Bacterial small subunit ribosomal RNA
Source: RNAcentral
CACGUAGGGUGCGAGCGUUGUUCGGAUUUACUGGGCGUAAAGGGCGCGUAGGCGGUCGUGACAAGUCGCUUGUGAAAUCUCCGGGCUUAACUCGGAACGGUCAAGUGAUACUGUCGGACUAGAGUACAGAAGGGGCAACUGGAAUUCUCGGUGUAGCGGUGAAAUGCGUAGAUAUCGAGAGGAACACCUGCGGCGAAGGCGGGUUGCUGGGCUGAUACUGACGCUGAGGCGCGAAAGCCAGGGGAGCGAACGGG